UGUGGAAGGCUUGCUCCCGGAUGUUAGCGGCGGACGGGUGAGUAACACGUGGGUAACCUGCCUGUAAGACUGGGAUAACUCCGGGAAACCGGAGCUAAUACCGGAUAGUUCCUUGAACCGCAGGUUCAAGGAUGAAAGACGGUUUCGGCUGUCACUUACAGAUGGACCCGCGGCGCAUUAGCUAGUUGGUGGGGUAAUGGCUCACCAAGGCGACGAUGCGUAGCCGACCUGAGAGGGUGAUCGGCCACACUGGGACUGAGACACGGCCCAGACUCCUACGGGAGGCAGCAGUAGGGAAUCUUCCGCAAUGGACGAAAGUCUGACGGAGCAACGCCGCGUGAGUGAUGAAGGUUUUCGGAUCGUAAAGCUCUGUUGUUAGGGAAGAACAAGUGCGAGAGUAACUGCUCGCACCUUGACGGUACCUAACCAGAAAGCCACGGCUAACUACGUGCCAGCAGCCGCGGUAAUACGUAGGUGGCAAGCGUUGUCCGGAAUUAUUGGGCGUAAAGGGCUCGCAGGCGGUUUCUUAAGUCUGAUGUGAAAGCCCCCGGCUCAACCGGGGAGGGUCAUUGGAAACUGGGAAACUUGAGUGCAGAAGAGGAGAGUGGAAUUCCACGUGUAGCGGUGAAAUGCGUAGAGAUGUGGAGGAACACCAGUGGCGAAGGCGACUCUCUGGUCUGUAACUGACGCUGAGGAGCGAAAGCGUGGGGAGCGAACAGGAUUAGAUACCCUGGUAGUCCACGCCGUAAACGAUGAGUGCUAAGUGUUAGGGGGUUUCCGCCCCUUAGUGCUGCAGCUAACGGCAUUAAGCACUCCGCCUGGGGAGUACGGUCGCAAGACUGAAACUCAAGGAUUUGACGGGGGCCCGCACAAGCGGUGGAGCAUGUGGUUUAAUUCGAAGCAACGCGAAGACCUUUACCAGGUCUUGACAUCCUCUGACACCCUAGAGAUAGGGCUUCCUUCCGGGACAGAGUGACAGGUGGUGCAUGGUUGUCGUCAGCCUCUGGUCGUGAAAUGUUGGGUUAGUCCGCACGAGCCCA
Molecule: ribosomal RNA, 1040 nt
Filed under: Bacillus pumilus
Lineage: Bacteria; Bacillati; Bacillota; Bacilli; Caryophanales; Bacillaceae
Description: bacterial SSU rRNA
Rfam family: Bacterial small subunit ribosomal RNA
Source: RNAcentral